This is a non-coding RNA of Ictidomys tridecemlineatus (thirteen-lined ground squirrel), 69 nucleotides long. Lineage: Eukaryota; Metazoa; Chordata; Mammalia; Rodentia; Sciuridae. The record is from Rfam.
GGGAUUGUGGCUCAGAGGUAGAGUGCAUGCCUAGUAUGCAUGAGGCAGUGGGUUUGAUCCUCAGCACCA